GAAACGCGAUAGGUAUUGUGAAUUGCAGAAUCAGGGAAUCAUCGAAUUUUUGAACGCACCUUGCGCUCCUUGGUAUUCCUCGGAGCAUGCCUGUUUGAGUGUUGAUAGCCUCUCCAAACAAUUGAUUUUUUUUUUUUUCAAUUUGCUUUGGGUCCUUGGGCUUGUAGCGGCAACGUUACUUGCCUGAAAUACAUUCAGAAAAUCUGAAUUGGAUGUUAAGCAUGAUAUCCUCUUUGGUUUUCGAAAUUGGAUCACACUAUACAUACAACCUCAAAUCAGGUAGGACUACCCGCUGAACUUAA
Molecule: unclassified non-coding RNA, 302 nt
Filed under: uncultured Exobasidiales
Lineage: Eukaryota; Fungi; Basidiomycota; Exobasidiomycetes; Exobasidiales
Description: sequence contains ITS1
Rfam family: 5.8S ribosomal RNA (bases 1-104)
Source: RNAcentral